CUCCAGACUCCUACGGGAGGCAGCAGUGGGGGAUAUUGCACAAUGGGGGGAACCCUGAUGCAGCGACGCCGCGUGGGUGAAGGAGCGUUUCGGCGCGUAAAGCCCUAUCGGCAGGGAAGAAGGAGGACGGUACCUGACUAAGAAGCCCCGGCUAACUACGUGCCAGCAGCCGCGGUAAUACGUAGGGGGCAAGCGUUAUCCGGAUUUACUGGGUGUAAAGGGAGCGUAGACGGCAAUGCAAGCCAGAUGUGAAAGCCCGGGGCUCAACCCCGGGACUGCAUUUGGAACUGUGUAGCUGGAGUGUCGGAGAGGCAGGCGGAAUUCCUAGUGUAGCGGUGAAAUGCGUAGAUAUUAGGAGGAACACCAGUGGCGAAGGCGGCUUACUGGACGGCAACUGACGCUGAGGCUCGAAAGCGUGGGGAGCAAACAGGAUUAGAUACCCGAGUAA
This 448-nucleotide ribosomal RNA is filed under the name uncultured bacterium. Its description in RNAcentral is "partial 16S ribosomal RNA". It matches the Rfam family "Bacterial small subunit ribosomal RNA", at positions 329 to 793 of the family's 1533-position model. The record is from RNAcentral.